CGAUGAAGGACGUGCUAUUCUGCGAUAAGCGUCAGUGAAGUUAUCUGAUUCCUUAUAAACGGCUAUUGCCAAAUGGAGAAACCCAGUGAGUUUCGACACACUAUCAUUAACUGAAUCCAUAAGUCAAUGAGGAGAACCGGGGGAACUGAAACAUCUAAAUACCCCGACGAAAAGAAACCAACCGAGAUUCCCCCAGUAGCGGCCAGCGAACGGGGAGGAGCCCAGAGCCUGAAUCAGUGUGUGUGUUAGUUGAAGCGUCUGGAAAGGCGCGCGAUACAGGGUGACAGC
This 288-nucleotide ribosomal RNA is filed under the name Escherichia coli. RNAcentral describes it as "partial 23S ribosomal RNA". It matches the Rfam family "Bacterial large subunit ribosomal RNA", at positions 47 to 371 of the family's 2925-position model. The record is from RNAcentral. Lineage: Bacteria; Pseudomonadati; Pseudomonadota; Gammaproteobacteria; Enterobacterales; Enterobacteriaceae.